RNAcentral lists this unclassified non-coding RNA (255 nucleotides) under Hevea brasiliensis (rubber tree). Lineage: Eukaryota; Viridiplantae; Streptophyta; Magnoliopsida; Malpighiales; Euphorbiaceae. The record is from RNAcentral.
UACAUGAUGAGAUAAGUUGGCAAUGAAAGUCCAAAAGCUGCGUGUGAGAUUCUGAUCAAAACUGUAACUUGGUCUCUGCUUAAAUGCUAUCUUCGUUUCUGACUUUUCAAAUGUUGCAUUAAUCAUUUCUCCCUUUUGCAGCAUGCGGAUAGCGAACAUCGGUGGUAAGACGCCAAGCAGUAAUCUUAGUUCUUCUCCCUCCAGCCAUAUGUAUGAAUUGCUCCCUCACUUUAUGCUAUGAUCAUGUAGAAAUGA